GAUCCUGCGCCGAAGAUUUCCGGGGCUAAAACUUACUACCGAAGCUACGGCAUCAGUAAUGAUGGGUAGGGGAGCUUCCCAUACGGGUUGAAGCAUGACCGUAAGGACAUGUGGACAGUAUGGGAGUGAGAAUGUUGGCAUGAGUAGCGAGAUGUGGGUGGGAAUCCCACAGGCCGUAAACCCAAGGUUUCCAGGGGAAGGUUCGUCCACCCUGGGUUAGUCGGGACCUAAGCUGAGGCCGAAAGGCGUAGGUGAUGGACAACAGGUUGAUAUUCCUGUACUACCGAUAACCGUUUGAGAGAAGGGAUGACACAGUAGGAUAAGCUAAGCACACUGUUGGUUAUGUGUGCCCAAGCAUUGAGGCAGUCAAAGUAGGCAAAUCCGCUUUGAUAAUGCUGGGAUG
This 403-nucleotide ribosomal RNA is filed under the name Clostridioides difficile. RNAcentral describes it as "partial 23S ribosomal RNA". It matches the Rfam family "Bacterial large subunit ribosomal RNA", at positions 1155 to 1563 of the family's 2925-position model. Lineage: Bacteria; Bacillati; Bacillota; Clostridia; Peptostreptococcales; Peptostreptococcaceae. The record is from RNAcentral.